UGGGGAAUUUUGCACAAUGGGGGAAACCCUGAUGCAGCGACGCCGCGUGAUUUAGAAGGCCUUCGGGUUGUAAAAAUCUUUUCUAUGGGAAGAAAAUGACAGUACCAUAGGAAUAAGGACCGGCUAAUUACGUGCCAGCAGCCGCGGUAAUACGUAAGGUCCGAGCGUUGUCCGGAAUCAUUGGGCGUAAAGGGUACGUAGGCGGGUAAGCAAGUUAGAAGUGAAAUCCUAUAGCUCAACUAUAGUAAGCUUUUAAAACUGCUCAUCUUGAGUUAUGGAAGGGAACGUGGAAUUCCUAGUGUAGCGGAGAAAUGCGCAGAUAUUAGGAGGAAUACCGGUGGCGAAGGCGACUUUCUGGCCAUAACCUGACACUGAGGUACGAAAGCGUGGGUAGCAAACAGG
This 402-nucleotide ribosomal RNA is filed under the name bacterium. RNAcentral's name for it is "partial 16S ribosomal RNA". It matches the Rfam family "Bacterial small subunit ribosomal RNA", at positions 355 to 776 of the family's 1533-position model. The record is from RNAcentral.